Non-coding RNA from Acanthosepion pharaonis, 116 nucleotides. The record is from the annotation of a GenBank genome assembly. NCBI's taxonomy places the organism in Eukaryota, Metazoa, Mollusca, Cephalopoda, Sepiida, Sepiidae.
UUACGGUCAAAUCACGCUGAAAACACCGGUUCUCGUUCGAUCACCGAAGUUAAGCAUCGUAGAGCCAGGUCAGUACUUAGAGAUGGGGACCGCUUGGGAACACCUGGUACUGUAAG